AGAGUUUGAUCAUGGCUCAGAUUGAACGCUGGCGGCAGGCCUAACACAUGCAAGUCGAACGGUAACAGGAAGCAGCUUGCUGCUUUGCUGACGAGUGGCGGACGGGUGAGUAAUGUCUGGGAAACUGCCUGAUGGAGGGGGAUAACUACUGGAAACGGUAGCUAAUACCGCAUAACGUCGCAAGACCAAAGAGGGGGACCUUCGGGCCUCUUGCCAUCAGAUGUGCCCAGAUGGGAUUAGCUUGUUGGUGGGGUAACGGCUCACCAAGGCGACGAUCCCUAGCUGGUCUGAGAGGAUGACCAGCCACACUGGAACUGAGACACGGUCCAGACUCCUACGGGAGGCAGCAGUGGGGAAUAUUGCACAAUGGGCGCAAGCCUGAUGCAGCCAUGCCGCGUGUAUGAAGAAGGCCUUCGGGUUGUAAAGUACUUUCAGCGGGGAGGAAGGGAGUAAAGUUAAUACCUUUGCUCAUUGACGUUACCCGCAGAAGAAGCACCGGCUAACUCCGUGCCAGCAGCCGCGGUAAUACGGAGGGUGCAAGCGUUAAUCGGAAUUACUGGGCGUAAAGCGCACGCAGGCGGUUUGUUAAGUCAGAUGUGAAAUCCCCGGGCUCAACCUGGGAACUGCAUCUGAUACUGGCAAGCUUGAGUCUCGUAGAGGGGGGUAGAAUUCCAGGUGUAGCGGUGAAAUGCGUAGAGAUCUGGAGGAAUACCGGUGGCGAAGGCGGCCCCCUGGACGAAGACUGACGCUCAGGUGCGAAAGCGUGGGGAGCAAACAGGAUUAGAUACCCUGGUAGUCCACGCCGUAAACGAUGUCGACUUGGAGGUUGUGCCCUUGAGGCGUGGCUUCCGGAGCUAACGCGUUAAGUCGACCGCCUGGGGAGUACGGCCGCAAGGUUAAAACUCAAAUGAAUUGACGGGGGCCCGCACAAGCGGUGGAGCAUGUGGUUUAAUUCGAUGCAACGCGAAGAACCUUACCUGGUCUUGACAUCCACGGAAGUUUUCAGAGAUGAGAAUGUGCCUUCGGGAACCGUGAGACAGGUGCUGCAUGGCUGUCGUCAGCUCGUGUUGUGAAAUGUUGGGUUAAGUCCCGCAACGAGCGCAACCCUUAUCCUUUGUUGCCAGCGGUCCGGCCGGGAACUCAAAGGAGACUGCCAGUGAUAAACUGGAGGAAGGUGGGGAUGACGUCAAGUCAUCAUGGCCCUUACGACCAGGGCUACACACGUGCUACAAUGGCGCAUACAAAGAGAAGCGACCUCGCGAGAGCAAGCGGACCUCAUAAAGUGCGUCGUAGUCCGGAUUGGAGUCUGCAACUCGACUCCAUGAAGUCGGAAUCGCUAGUAAUCGUGGAUCAGAAUGCCACGGUGAAUACGUUCCCGGGCCUUGUACACACCGCCCGUCACACCAUGGGAGUGGGUUGCAAAAGAAGUAGGUAGCUUAACCUUCGGGAGGGCGCUUACCACUUUGUGAUUCAUGACUGGGGUGAAGUCGUAACAAGGUAACCGUAGGGGAACCUGCGGUUGGAUCACCU
Molecule: ribosomal RNA, 1530 nt
Filed under: Escherichia coli
Lineage: Bacteria; Pseudomonadati; Pseudomonadota; Gammaproteobacteria; Enterobacterales; Enterobacteriaceae
Description: bacterial SSU rRNA
Rfam family: Bacterial small subunit ribosomal RNA
Source: RNAcentral